This 73-nucleotide transfer RNA is filed under the name Clostridium putrefaciens. It matches the Rfam family "tRNA". From Rfam's summary of the family: Transfer RNA (tRNA) molecules are approximately 80 nucleotides in length. Lineage: Bacteria; Bacillati; Bacillota; Clostridia; Eubacteriales; Clostridiaceae. RNAcentral also lists the same sequence under 1 other name. The record is from Rfam by way of RNAcentral.
CGCGGAGUGGAGCAGUUGGCAGCUCGUCGGGCUCAUAACCCGAAGGUCGUGGGUUCAAGUCCUACCUCCGCAA